UACGGAGGGUGCAAGCGUUGUUCGGAAUCACUGGGCGUAAAGCGAGUGUAGGCGGCUUGAUAAGUCGGGUGUGAAAGCCCAGGGCUCAACCCUGGAACUGCGCCCGAUACUGUUAUGGCUUGAGUACGAGAGAGGGUUGCGGAAUUGUCGGUGUAGAGGUGAAAUUCGUAGAUAUCGGCAAGAACACCAGCGGCGAAGGCGGCAACCUGGUUCGAUACUGACGCUCAGACUCGAAAGCGUGGGGAGCAAA
Molecule: ribosomal RNA, 250 nt
Filed under: uncultured bacterium
Lineage: Bacteria
Description: partial 16S ribosomal RNA
Rfam family: Bacterial small subunit ribosomal RNA
Source: RNAcentral